RNAcentral lists this ribosomal RNA (253 nucleotides) under uncultured bacterium. Its description in RNAcentral is "partial 16S ribosomal RNA". It matches the Rfam family "Bacterial small subunit ribosomal RNA", at positions 524 to 776 of the family's 1533-position model. The record is from RNAcentral.
GACAGAGGUGCCAAGCGUUAGGCGGAAUCACUGGGCUUAAAGCGUGUGUAGGCGGACUCGUAAGUACCUUGUGAAAUCCCACGGCUCAACCGUGGAACUGCUUGGUAUACUGGUUGUCUUGGGCCAUCUAGGGGCUACUGGAACAAACGGUGGAGCGGUGAAAUGCGUAGAUAUCGUUUGGAACGCCAAUGGUGAAAACAAGUAGCUGGGGAUGUGCCGACGCUGAGACACGAAAGCCAGGGGAGCGAACGGG